GGAUUAGAUACCCUGGUAGUCCACGCCGUAAACGAUGUGUGCUAGUUGUCGGGGUCCUUAGGGCCUCGGUGACGCAGAGAAAUCAUUAAGCACACCGCCUGGGGAGUACGGCCGCAAGGUUAAAACUCAAAGGAAUUGACGGGGACCCGCACAAGCGGUGGAGCAUGUUGUUUAAUUCGAAGCAACGCGAAGAACCUUACCCACUCUUGACAUCCUCCUUGGGACUUGUAGAGAUACUUGUCUUCGGUUCGGCCGGGGGAGUGACAGGUGCUGCAUGGCUGUCGUCAGCUCGUGCUG
RNAcentral lists this ribosomal RNA (297 nucleotides) under uncultured bacterium. RNAcentral's name for it is "partial 16S ribosomal RNA". It matches the Rfam family "Bacterial small subunit ribosomal RNA", at positions 775 to 1067 of the family's 1533-position model. The record is from RNAcentral.